RNAcentral lists this ribosomal RNA (497 nucleotides) under uncultured bacterium. RNAcentral describes it as "partial 16S ribosomal RNA". It matches the Rfam family "Bacterial small subunit ribosomal RNA", at positions 28 to 507 of the family's 1533-position model. The record is from RNAcentral.
GAUGAACGCUGGCGGCGUGCCUAAUACAUGCAAGUCGAGCGAACGGACGAGAAGCUUGCUUCUCUGAUGUUAGCGGCGGACGGGUGAGUAACACGUGGAUACCCUACCUAUAAGACUGGGAUAACUUCGGGAAACCGGAGCUAAUACCGGAUAAUAUUUUGAACCGCAUGGUUCAAAAGUGAAAGACGGUCUUGCUGUCACUUAUAGAUGGAUCCGCGCUGCAUUAGCUAGUUGGUAAGGUAACGGCUUACCAAGGCAACGAUGCAUAGCCGACCUGAGAGGGUGAUCGGCCACACUGGAACUGAGACACGGUCCAGACUCCUACGGGAGGCAGCAGUAGGGAAUCUUCCGCAAUGGGCGAAAGCCUGACGGAGCAACGCCGCGUGAGUGAUGAAGGUCUUCGGAUCGUAAAACUCUGUUAGUAGGGAAGAACAUAUGUGUAAGUAACUGUGCACAUCUUGACGGUACCUAAUCAGAAAGCCACGGCUAACUACGUG